This 382-nucleotide long non-coding RNA is filed under the name Gossypium raimondii (Peruvian cotton). Its description in RNAcentral is "long non-coding RNA (GRAI_LNC009948)". The record is from RNAcentral. Lineage: Eukaryota; Viridiplantae; Streptophyta; Magnoliopsida; Malvales; Malvaceae.
AAUGCUGUCACAUUCAAUUGGCUGUCCAGUUUUGGUAUAAAAGAGUGUGCGUUUGGUCACUUAAUUGCUGGUGCAUAUUUGGAAAAUUUUUAGGGGAUAUUGAAGCAGUCAAUUCUCAUUAUGGUGACUUUUCAAAUGGACCAAGAGUAACUCUUCAAGUCUGACCGGUUUCAUGCACUCAAAGCUAGUAAUGGUGCCAAUUAAAGAGAUGAAUACAGAAGCAUUAAGGCAUUUGGUUAAGGGGAAAAUGAAGGAGCAUCAAGCAGAACAUUUAAAGGACCAUUAAGCCUUCAUCAAGUGAAAAGGCAUGACUUUUCAGCUAUGCAUUAAUCAAGUGAAAAGACAUGACUCUUUGGUUGUCCAUUAAGAGUUAUAACCGAAU